RNAcentral lists this ribosomal RNA (468 nucleotides) under uncultured bacterium. RNAcentral describes it as "partial 16S ribosomal RNA". It matches the Rfam family "Bacterial small subunit ribosomal RNA", at positions 28 to 507 of the family's 1533-position model. The record is from RNAcentral.
GACGAACGCUGGCGGCGUGCUUAACACAUGCAAGUCGAACGGAAAGGCCCUGCUUUUGUGGGGUGCUCGAGUGGCGAACUGGUGAGUAACACGUGAGUAACCUGCCCUUGACUUUGGGAUAACUUCAGGAAACUGGGGCUAAUACCGGAUAGGAGCUCCUGCUGCAUGGUGGGGGUUGGACAGUUUCGGCGGUUGGGGAUGGACUCGCGGCUUAUCAGCUUGUUGGUGGGGUAGUGGAUUACCAAGGCUUUGACGGGUAGCCGGCCUGAGAGGGGGAGCGGCCACAUCGGGACUGGGAUACGGCCCAGACUCGUACGGGAGGCAGCGGUGGGGAAUAUUGCACUAUGGGCGGAAGCCUGAUGCAGCAACGCCGCGUGCGGGAUGACGGCCUGCGGGUUGUAAACCGCUUUCGCCUGUGACGAAGCGUGAGUGACGGUAAUGGGUAAAGAAGCACCGGCUAACUACGUG